AAUUGCGAGUAAGAUGGAAGCUGAAAUGGAUUAAUAAGGAAGAAAGACAAGGUUGAAAGAGAGUAACCUUGAAUUUGAGCUCAACGGUGGCUGAGCUGGAGAAUGUGGCGGCGGAGAAUCCGAAUUUCUGGCCAGCGACAAGGUUGAAUCGACUUUGGGUUGCAAAUUGGAAGUGGAUUCGAUGGAAUUGGAAGUGGAUUCGACAGAUCUGAAACGUUUAGGCUGAAGACUGAAAUUUUGGUCUUCUCGAUUUUGUUAGAUUUUCUCGAAGCUGCAGAGGGAAGUGAAUAAUUUUGCCUAAGUGUUGGCGCUUAAGUGAAUAAUUUUGCCUAAGUGUUGGCGGAAUAAAGUAUUUUAGAUUGCUAGAGGAUUUUUGGUCUUAACAUUUAUAAGGUGCUAUUAAAAAGUAACCAAAAAAUUAAACUCAUCUUUUAUAGCAGUUCAGGAAAAUGAGCUAUCCUCUACUGUUAUCAAUGAUGACUUUUUUUGUAGUGUCUGUCAAUUAUAAACCGACAUUUUCCAAUAGACUCAUCAAAAAUACAACAAGAUCAUAUCUUUGAAAACCAUCUAGCGUACAUCAUAUAUUUUUGGCGAUGAUCUUGAUGCAGUAG
This 611-nucleotide small RNA is filed under the name Arabidopsis thaliana (thale cress). RNAcentral's name for it is "ATSL023680". The record is from RNAcentral. Lineage: Eukaryota; Viridiplantae; Streptophyta; Magnoliopsida; Brassicales; Brassicaceae.